CAAGUGCUUCCUUUUAGAGGGU
Molecule: microRNA, 22 nt
Filed under: Pongo abelii (Sumatran orangutan)
Lineage: Eukaryota; Metazoa; Chordata; Mammalia; Primates; Hominidae
Also listed under: 1 other name
Description: Pab-Mir-430-P14_3p (mature (guide))
Source: RNAcentral